Molecule: ribosomal RNA, 398 nt
Filed under: uncultured bacterium
Lineage: Bacteria
Description: partial 16S ribosomal RNA
Rfam family: Bacterial small subunit ribosomal RNA
Source: RNAcentral
AUACGUAGGGUGCGAGCGUUGUCCGGAAUUACUGGGCGUAAAGAGCUCGUAGGUGGUUUGUCGCGUCGUCUGUGAAAUUCCGGGGCUUAACUCCGGGCGUGCAGGCGAUACGGGCAUAACUUGAGUACUGUAGGGGAGACUGGAAUUCCUGGUGUAGCGGUGAAAUGCGCGGAUAUCAGGAGGAACACCGGUGGCGAAGGCGGGUCUCUGGGCAGUAACUGACGCUGAGGAGCGAAAGCAUGGGUAGCGAACAGGAUUAGAUACCCUGGUAGUCCAUGCCGUAAACGGUGGGCGCUAGGUGUAGGGGUCUUCCACGACUUCUGUGCCGUAGCUAACGCAUUAAGCGCCCCGCCUGGGGAGUACGGCCGCAAGGCUAAAACUCAAAUGAAUUGACGGGG